GACGAACGCUGGCGGCGUGCUUAACACAUGCAAGUCGAACGGUGAACUCCGCUUGCGGGGGGAUCAGUGGCGAACGGGUGAGUAACACGUGGGCAACCUGCCCUCAGCUCUGGGAUAACUCCAAGAAAUUGGGGCUAAUACCGGAUAUGACCGCUGACCGCAUGGUCUGGUGGUGGAAAGAUUUAUCGGCUGGGGCUGGGCCCGCGGCCUAUCAGCUUGUCGGUGGGGUAGUGGCCUACCAAGGCGACGACGGGUAGCCGGCCUGAGAGGGGGACCGGCCACGCUGGGACGGGGACGAGGCACGGACUACUACGGGAGGCAGCAGAGGGGAAUAUUACGCAAUGGAAGGAAGCCAGACGCAGCGACGCCGCGUGGGGGAAGACGGCCUUCGGGUUGUAAACCUCUUUCAGCAGGGACGAAACGAAAAUGACGGUACCUGCAGAAGAAGCUCCGGCCAACUACGUG
This 465-nucleotide ribosomal RNA is filed under the name uncultured bacterium. RNAcentral's name for it is "partial 16S ribosomal RNA". It matches the Rfam family "Bacterial small subunit ribosomal RNA", at positions 28 to 507 of the family's 1533-position model. The record is from RNAcentral.